CUAAGCAUCGGUUUCAUCGUCCCCUUACCAUCUAGAGACAUAAUCUCAUCGUCUCCAAAUCGAUUCAGAGACGAUCCCACCAUGAAUUAUCCAACCCCAAAAUAAGAUUGUAUGUAACACAUCUUUCUUCGAACCCCAAUCGAUUCACACAAUUUUCAAUCAAAAUUUUGAGCUCGAUUUUCCAGAACAAAUUUUCACCUUACUUCACUUCCAUGGUCGAGUUGAUUAUUUCUCCCACUCCAGUUCACAAAAUUGUCGACAAGUUUUUUUUUUUACUUUCAUCGAAUUCAAUUAUAUCAGAUUCUCAGUCUUCCACCGUCCCCAAAUCGACUCUAAACCCCAAGGAAAGAACAGAAGCGGAAGUACAGAUGGAUUCGUUGCAAGAUAAGGUUUCAGGUAGUCAUCCACGUCGAACUCCAAGAAUUAUUGAAGUAGCUCAACUUCUGGAGCUAAUCGAGAGUGGUGUUAGGUCGAUCAACCUCUUUUCUUCUUAAACUCCCAUGAUAAGUCAUUUCUUCAUUUAUUUAUAUGAAUCCAAUUUUUAAUUCUUGAUUCUAUAAUCGUAGGUCUAUCUAUGUGAUUAUUGUGGUGGAGGUUCGCUGAGCUCCGAUCUAGCCUGCUUUCAGCUUACUUCCUUUUGCUUUACAGUGUGUCUUUUUUUGUUUGUUGAGCCAACAUGAAAUUGUUCUAAAGUAGAAAAAUCAAGUGAACAAUUAUGAAAGAUGCUCGGAGAGGUAUGGGAAUUUGCUGAUGUGGUGGUUGUUCAGCUGUGCUUACAGAACAGGAUUUGAUGCUUUAGCAGCUACGGUUGCGAGAUACUAUUAAGGAUAGAGCUCUUGAUUCUUUACUGAAGGUAGUCUCAGGAAAAUCAGUGUGGUGGGUAAUGAAGGACAUAGCUAAUGAUGUCGACAAUGAUUGGGUCAGUACAGAAACAAAGGUACAUUUGUAUGGAGGUUAGUUGGUGGUCUUUAAGUGCGUAGGCACACAUUGUGCUGCUUUCGAAGGAAGAUUGUUCCCCAAAAAUAUUGUAGUUUGUUACUCCUAUGUUUUAUAGCUUUUGUAAAGUAACGACAGGUCGGAAGGUGCAUCACACAUAUCUCUUUGCAAGCCUGCUCGAUGAGUUACGUAUAAAGAAGUCUUUCUAUCUUAGAAAACUACGAGUGAUUGAAAAAUUAUUAAAUGAAAAAUACCGUGUUUAGUCGGAA
Molecule: long non-coding RNA, 1205 nt
Organism: Papaver somniferum (opium poppy)
Lineage: Eukaryota; Viridiplantae; Streptophyta; Magnoliopsida; Ranunculales; Papaveraceae
Exons: 5
Source: RefSeq, a predicted model, not a curated record